AAAAAGGAAAUAGAAACCGAAUAUGGAAAUGAAAAUCGAAUAAGGAAAUAGAAACUGAAUAAGGAAAAAGAAACUGAAUAAGGAAAUGAAAAUCAAAACAGGAAAUAGAAACCGAAUAAGAAAAUGAUAAUCAAAAAAGGAAAUAGAAAACGAAUAAGGAAAUGAAAAUCGAAAAAGGAAAUAGAAACCGAAUAAGGAAAUAAAGAUUGAAUAAGGAAAUAGAAACCGAAUAAGGAAAAAGAAACCGAAUAAGGAAAUGAAAAUCAAAAAAGGAAAUAGAAACCGAAUAAGGAAAUGAAAAUCGAAAAAGGAAAUAGAAAACGAAUAAGGAAAUGAAAAUUGAAAAAGGAAAUAGAAA
This 358-nucleotide long non-coding RNA is filed under the name Mytilus galloprovincialis (Mediterranean mussel). The record is from RNAcentral. Lineage: Eukaryota; Metazoa; Mollusca; Bivalvia; Mytilida; Mytilidae.